UGUCUUCCUCAAUCUGUUAUAAUAAAACCCUGCAUUUGCAUUCAAACCCAUGAGUCUGACAGAAGAGUCUGAAAGCUACAUCAGGUGGUAGAGUUUGUGUGAAACGACAACAGCUAGACACCAUCCACACCACAUUAAAUGAACUAUAUAGCCAUCUUCAGCAGCUAGCCUCCAUCUCUUUUAUAGUUGGACAUCAAAACAGGACGGAGAUAUCCUGUUCAACAAAUAGCACAGAGAUCCAGCGGAAUACCAAGGUGUCCUCCUGCAGUGCUUGUUUUAUCUCUCUUCACAGUGCCACAUCACGGAUGAGAAGAUUUUUCAGUUGAUAUCCCUCCUCAUCGGCAAACCUGGGCUACAGUGGUGUGGUUCAUUAGGGGGGAGGUCACCCACACAACCAUCUUGCAACCAUUUUGGCACUUUCUUUCUCAACAUAUUGCAUGAGCCAGCUCUUAAUCCUGCUCUCUGCCAAGGACUCCAACAAGAUGCCUUCACAGAGCCAGCCAUAAUGGUCACUCAUCACUGGAUUCUCUAAUUGAUCUAGCCAUUCUCUUGGACAAAUUCCACCUACAGACAAGUAUUCUCACCUAGAGGAGAACCAGUAACCUGAAGCCAUGCACAUUGGGCAUGCCCAGCAGAACAUCUGUAGCACAGAGACAAGGGAUUGGGUUUCUACUGUGGAGAAGGCACAUACAUCAUUGCAAAGUUUCCAACACAGAUUCAAGAGUAUCUGCAAAACUAAGCCGGGUAGACCAGCCACAUGCUAAUGCGUUUGCCAGAAAGUUUCACCUGGACUAGAGGUGAGCAUCAGGAUUGGGAUCCCUCAGGCUGCAACAAACAGUCAGGCUUCUAAUCUGAAGUGGCACGCAUGAAGUCGAUUCUCCAAAACACUGAUGCUGAAUCUCCAUCCAUCCUAGCUCCUUCACACUUCCUCUGAAGCCAGAUGUUGUUAAAAAAAAAAAAAAAAAAGGAGGUUUCUGUAAUUAUUUUAAUGAAUGGGAGCCAGAAUGAGGUUGGAGAGCCUCUUGGGGACUGACUGAAAGGACUGCACACAUUUUAAAACCCUUUCCAUGAAAUAUUACAAGGCCAAGCUGAGAAAAUGUUUGUAGAAGACGUGUUUAAACAUCCUACUUCAAAUGGGGAUAAUAAGGAAUGGAUUUUUUUUUAUUGAGUCCAUAUGUUCUUGUAGAGUAGAAAGAAAAAGAGGUGAUUAUCUUCCUCCAUUAGUCUUCAGACUAAUGCAGUAGAGAUGACUGCAUACCAGAAGGAAUAAUAAAAUUAUGUU
Long non-coding RNA from Pangasianodon hypophthalmus (striped catfish), 1282 nucleotides. RefSeq lists it as uncharacterized. The transcript has 3 exons. The record is from RefSeq and is a predicted model, not a curated record. NCBI's taxonomy places the organism in Eukaryota, Metazoa, Chordata, Actinopteri, Siluriformes, Pangasiidae.